GAGAUUGGGACUUUGAGUAGAAUUAGGCGGGAGACUUAUUUUUGUAACUCAUUGAUAUCUCUU
This 63-nucleotide microRNA precursor is filed under the name Medicago truncatula (barrel medic). RNAcentral's name for it is "MIR5285 microRNA precursor family". It matches the Rfam family "MIR5285 microRNA precursor family". The record is from Rfam by way of RNAcentral. Lineage: Eukaryota; Viridiplantae; Streptophyta; Magnoliopsida; Fabales; Fabaceae.